This 126-nucleotide ribosomal RNA is filed under the name Trichosporon sp. YNS27-270505. Its description in RNAcentral is "partial 5.8S ribosomal RNA". It matches the Rfam family "5.8S ribosomal RNA", at positions 30 to 154 of the family's 154-position model. From Rfam's summary of the family: 5.8S ribosomal RNA (5.8S rRNA) is a component of the large subunit of the eukaryotic ribosome. It is transcribed by RNA polymerase I as part of the 45S precursor that also contains 18S and 28S rRNA. Functionally, it is thought that 5.8S rRNA may be involved in ribosome translocation. Lineage: Eukaryota; Fungi; Basidiomycota; Tremellomycetes; Trichosporonales; Trichosporonaceae. The record is from RNAcentral.
GCAUCGAUGAAGAACGCAGCGAAAUGCGAUAAGUAAUGUGAAUUGCAGAAUUCAGUGAAUCAUCGAAUCUUUGAACGCAACUUGCGCUCUCUGGUAUUCCGGAGAGCAUGCCUGUUUGAGUGUCAU